This 253-nucleotide ribosomal RNA is filed under the name uncultured bacterium. RNAcentral's name for it is "partial 16S ribosomal RNA". It matches the Rfam family "Bacterial small subunit ribosomal RNA", at positions 524 to 776 of the family's 1533-position model. The record is from RNAcentral.
UACGGGGGAUGCGAGCGUUAUCCGGAUUUAUUGGGUUUAAAGGGUGCGUAGGCGGCGCUUCAGGUCAGCGGUGAAAUACCGGGGCUCAACCCCGGGGCUGCCGUUGAAACCGGAGCGCUAGAAUUCCGAUGCCGUCGGAGGAAUGUGUGGUGUAGCGGUGAAAUGCAUAGAUAUUAGGAGGAACACCAGUGGCGAAGGCGGCUUACUGGACUGUAACUGACGUUGAGGCUCGAAAGCGUGGGGAGCAAACAGG